GCAAACUUGGUCAUUUAGAGGAAGUAAAAGUCGUAACAAGGUUUCCGUAGGUGAACCUGCGGAAGGAUCAUUCACAAUAAGUGUUUAUGGCACUUUCAAAUCCAUACCCACCUUGUGUGCAAUGUAAGAGCCCUUUUCAACUCUCUCUCCUCUGGGGGGGAAAAGGAGGAUUGGGCUUCAUUUUCUCUCACACGUCUUCAAUUGCAAGUCUAACCUUCAGAGUAAUCAAAACUCGAAUACAACUUUCAACAACGGAUCUCUUGGCUCUCGCAUCGAUGAAGAACGCAGC
This 289-nucleotide unclassified non-coding RNA is filed under the name uncultured fungus. RNAcentral describes it as "partial contains small subunit ribosomal RNA, internal transcribed spacer 1, and 5.8S ribosomal RNA". The stretch from base 1 to 73 matches the Rfam family "Eukaryotic small subunit ribosomal RNA", at positions 1759 to 1831 of the family's 1831-position model. Lineage: Eukaryota; Fungi. The record is from RNAcentral.